This 249-nucleotide ribosomal RNA is filed under the name uncultured bacterium. RNAcentral's name for it is "partial 16S ribosomal RNA". It matches the Rfam family "Bacterial small subunit ribosomal RNA", at positions 524 to 772 of the family's 1533-position model. The record is from RNAcentral.
UACGUAGGGUGCAAGCGUUGUCCGGAAUUAUUGGGCGUAAAGAGCUCGUAGGCGGUCUGUCGCGUCGGCUGUGAAAACUCGGGGCUCAACCCCGAGCCUGCAGUCGAUACGGGCAGACUAGAGUGCUGUAGGGGAGACUGGAAUUCCUGGUGUAGCGGUGAAAUGCGCAGAUAUCAGGAGGAACACCGGUGGCGAAGGCGGGUCUCUGGGCAGUAACUGACGCUGAGGAGCGAAAGCGUGGGGAGCGAA